UACGGAGGGGGCCAGCGUUGCUCGGAAUUACUGGGCGUAAAGGGCGCGUAGGCGGCCUUCUAAGUCGGACGUGAAAUCCCUCGGCUUAACCGAGGAACUGCGUCCGAUACUGAAAGGCUUGAAUCCGGGAGAGGGAUGUGGAAUUCCAGGUGUAGCGGUGAAAUGCGUAGAUAUCUGGAGGAACACCGGUGGCGAAGGCGGCAUCCUGGACCGGUAUUGACGCUGAGGCGCGAAAGCUAGGGGAGCAAACGGG
RNAcentral lists this ribosomal RNA (253 nucleotides) under uncultured bacterium. RNAcentral describes it as "partial 16S ribosomal RNA". It matches the Rfam family "Bacterial small subunit ribosomal RNA", at positions 524 to 776 of the family's 1533-position model. The record is from RNAcentral.